This 514-nucleotide ribosomal RNA is filed under the name uncultured bacterium. Its description in RNAcentral is "partial 16S ribosomal RNA". It matches the Rfam family "Bacterial small subunit ribosomal RNA", at positions 28 to 523 of the family's 1533-position model. The record is from RNAcentral.
GACGAACGCUGGCGGCGUGCCUAAUACAUGCAAGUCGAGCGGACGAAUCGAAAGCUUGCUUUUGAUUCGUUAGCGGCGGACGGGUGAGUAACACGUGGGCAACCUGCCCUGUAGACGGGGAUAACACCGAGAAAUCGGUGCUAAUACCGGAUAACACGAAAUGUCGCAUGACGUUUCGUUGAAAGACGGCGCAAGCUGUCGCUACAGGAUGGGCGCGCGGCUCAUUAGCUAGUUGGUGAGGUAACGGCUCACCAAGGCGACGAUGCGUAGCCGACCUGAGAGGGUGAUCGGCCACACUGGGACUGAGACACGGCCCAGACUCCUACGGGAGGCAGCAGUAGGGAAUCUUCCGCAAUGGACGAAAGUCUGACGGAGCAACGCCGCGUGAGCGAAGAAGGCCUUCGGGUCGUAAAGCUCUGUUGUUAGGGAAGAACAAGUAACGCAGUAACUGGCGUUACCGUGACGGUACCUAACGAGAAAGCCACGGCCAACUACGUGCCAGCCGCCGCCGUAA